Molecule: RNA transcript, 5784 nt
Organism: Neofelis nebulosa (Clouded leopard)
Lineage: Eukaryota; Metazoa; Chordata; Mammalia; Carnivora; Felidae
Gene: WDR73
Gene name: WD repeat domain 73
Exons: 11
Source: RefSeq, a predicted model, not a curated record
CUCGCGAGAGGUUCGCGCCAGGAAGGUUCUCAGAGGCGGAAGUGGGGUAGCGGAAGCGGCGUUGCCAUGGAGUCAGCGGAGGACUGGCUGGUGGAAUCCUUGCGCUUGUACCAAGAUUUCCAUGCAUUCGACCUUUCCGAAGCCACACGAGUCCUUGAAUGGAUUGAUGACAAAGGAGUCUGUGUUGCUGGCUAUGAAAGCCUGAAAAAAAAUGAGAUUCUUCAUCUGUUACUACCUCUCAGACUUUCUGUAAAAGAAAACCAGGGCUUAUUCCCAGAAAGAGAUUUCAAGGUACGCCACGGAGGAUUUUCAGACACGUCUGUCUUUGAUCUGAAGCACGUGCUGGACACCAGGUUGCUGGUAACCAGUGGUCUUCCAGGUUGUCACCUGCAUGUGUGGCAGGUGACAGAGGACAGUGAUGUCAUUCAAGCUGUCAGCACCAUUGCCGUGCAGGAGGAGGAGGGGAGUCUCUGGCCUAGGGUGGCCAUCUUCUCUUCGAUGGCCCCCGGAGUCCUGCACGGGGCGAGGCUCCGCGGUCUGAAGGUUGUGGAUCUGGAAACUCAGAAGACCACGUACUCCUCAGGGGUCGGUGACAGUGAGGAGCUGAGCAGCCUGCAGGUCCUGGACGCAGAUACCUUUGCCUUCUGCUGUGCCUCGGGCCGGCUGGGGCUCGUUGACAUCCGCCAGAAGUGGGCGCCGUCAGAGAAUGCCGGCCCCGGCCCCGGGGCCGCUGCAAGGAGGUGGUGUGCCGAAGUUGGGGGCCGACGCCGGGGCCCUGGGCCCAGCAUUGCCAGCCUUGGCUCAGACGGGCAGCUCUGUCUCCUUGAUCCCCGGGAUCUCUGCCACCCUGUGAGCUCGGGGCAGUGCCCCGUGUCCGCACCGAGCCCCGCCCCAGAGCUGCUGCGAGUGACCUGGGCCCCGGGCCUGGACGACUGCCUGGCCAUUUCAGGUUUUGAUGGGACGGUCCAGGUCUAUGAUGCCACAUCUUGGGACGGAACGGGGGGCCAAGUAGAACCUGUCUUCACUCACAGAGGUCACAUCUUCCUGGAAGACAAUCAGACAGAUACUGCGCCACUGGUCACUACCCACACCUGGCACCCCCACAAGCCGAGGACCUUGUUAUCGGCAGCAAGCGACGCCUCUCUGCACGUGUGGGACUGGGUGGACCACCGUGCGGCCUGCUGACUCCAGCCUCUCCCUGCCCAGGCCUCUAAGAAGAGAAGGAGCUACCGGAAAGCCAAGGAAGUUUUCCGGAAGUCCCGGGGAUCGUCAUUCCAAAGCUCUUCACUUCUCUCUGGCCUCGAGACCCCGUCUGGCUGGCGGGCUGGAAGUCCUACUCGAGGAGAAUCAAGAAGGGACAUGGAGUUCUUAUGCACUUUGCCUUCUGUUCUUAUAUCUGGACGUGGUGGGUGAAAUGAGAAUGGAAACACCUACCAGAAAGAUCUGGUUUUCAGAAGAAAUCGUUUAGGGAAUGACUCAGGAAAUGUGCCCCCUUAAGUGAGGAGUACAGGGCAAGGUGUUCAUCUAUCUUAACAGCCCUGCAACUCCAGCUCGUCCCACAUCUUGGCUUUUCUCAGGACGGGCACGUGGCCAGGCUGGCCUCUCCCCCCACCCGCUGCGGAGUCGCUGGCGUUCUCCUCUCCGGGACACUGAAGAUCACGCCUCCGUGGGUCCUCCUCCUGCUCCACGUGGGAGCUGACACUGCGUGGUUCCUCCAUCCAGGUCCUGGCUGCCUCCGUGCCUCCUGGGAGAUGUACACGGCCACAUCGCCGAAUGUCACCAACUCCUGGGAAAACAUAACACCCUGUUCAAAAGGUGCUGCCCUGGGACAAAAUGCCUCCCUAUAUGGCCUUCAUCAGAGGGCAGGUGACAAAAAAGGCCGAGGAGAAACUAAAAAGCGAGUUUUCUUUGACUUUUAAAGGCAAUAAAGGACGGGGAGGGAGCCGGGGAGAGAGAGAGAAGCCAGAAAGAAGCUAACAUUUACGGAACACCAGGUGUGCUGUGCCAGAUAUUUUCACACUUGCUCAGUUAUACAGUCAGUAUGUGGCAGAUCCAGGGUUUGAACGCAGGACUUUCUGACCCUGAGGCUUUUGUUCCCUCCACGCCUCCACAGUCCUGCACACCAUGCGGGCACGACUCGGAUAUGGAAAGAAGGAAGUAACUAUUCCUUUUAAGGCAAACGUGCAAACCAGCACGAUCUUACAAUCUCGGGCUCAAGGAAAAGAAUGACUUAAUACCAUUCCUCACCGCCUCAGCUGUGGUGCUGCCUUCCAUACGGAGGGGGGUGUCAGCAACAUCUUUCUGGCUGGUGAAAUUCUGGAGCCUAAUCUACAAAGUUACUGAGAACCCCCUCCACCACCACUGGGUAAAAUUCUCUUGGCAUUUCUGGUGAGCAAAAGAGUUGGUGGCAAAGGGCCCCCACUUGAAUAGUGAAAGGUGUCCUAAGUAAGAGAAAGAUCUGGCUCACCUGAGGGCUGUGCAUCAUCCCCGGGUCACUGCCGCCCUCCUCCAGAGAAACACCCAGAGUUCCAGGACCAGGCAGGGCUGUGGGGAAGAAAAAGGAGCAGUGAGGAGACCAUGUUUCUCAACUCCUCCUGAGGACGGGCCCAACUUAGUUCUGAAACAGAAGAGUCUUCCCCCUUCUCUUGGUGUCUGCUCUGUCCCAGCAAAGAAAGUUGGUGAAAAACCAAAAUGAGGAGAGUUCCCAAUUUUCCCCUUCCAUAUCCAUCCAGGUUACUGAUGCAGUUUCAUGAUUUUCUUCUUCAGUUUUGAUAACACAUCCGCAUCAUCCAAAUUGGUCUGGGACACACGUACCUGUCCUGAGAAUUACUGUGCUUUGAUUUGACCCCACCUUGUGCUUUCUCCACCAGCCAGACCUAAAAUCUGUGCCCAACCUACUGGGACAGUAACCUCACUCACACAAGGAGAGGUACCACAGGCUCCGCUGGGUACUUUUACAAAACAUGCCAACCGAGGCCCUUCCUCCCUUUGGAGGUACCUGUCGAGGAUCCCCCAAGCCUCAUUUCACCUGCCCCAUCCUCCCACCUUCGGCACUCUGAGGGAACUUACCCACCCUCUCCCCACACUGCUGCUGCUUACCGCUCCUGUGCAAGGCUGGGAGUUCCUCUUCGGGACUGUGAUGCCACUGUUCAUCCGGUUCUGGCUGUGAGUUCUUCACCACUGCCUGUAACAGACACAUGAAUCCUGUCUGUGCUUGCUUGAGAUGGAUGUCUUGGGAAGCUAGUACUGAUCCUAAGCGUUCCUUCUCCUCUGAGCAUACCUCCUGUCCCUGUUCAAGGACUAGAGGGGUCGAAAUUCUGUAGGAACCAAAACUUAACUAUCCCAAGAUGCAAAGAAGCAAAGGAGGAAAUCAGUCUCCUGCAAAUCACUGCAGUCCAGUAAGGAGUGUGGAUGUGCAAAAGACUAACAGAUAAGGUCUGGAUCCCAGGCUCACUGCAAUCUGCCCACCAGCUCUCCUGAGGCAAGACUCAGCCAACCAAAAAUAUAGCUGUUUUUCAAUAGGACCCAAAGGUGCAAUACUGGCCAUAAAGACCAGUGAAGCCACUUGCGUCAGGCUGGCUGCUGACGAAUGAGAGCUGUUCUCCAAAAAGAAACCAAAAACCAACCCACCCACCCACCCACAAACCCUAGCUUUUCUGUCCUUCUGUGUGCUCCUCCUCACCCGGAGUGGUGUUCAAGCCAUUUUAAGCAAUUCUCCUACUUAACGGCAGGGCCCCACACUCAGAGCAAGCGCUGUUAGGCAUUCUCUGAAGAGUCCGUCUGAGCGUGGAAGGAAAGCCGUAGCCACCAGGCCCAGGGAAUGAGCAAAUGCCACUUUGCCACGAACAGCAAAGUACGGCACAUCACCCACACUGCUGGCAAACCAAGGGCACGCUCCCACUUCCUCCUGCUUUACCCAGAACAAGGUUCUCGCUUCUCACCUGGAGCCCCCGUCUCCCAGGCUCUUUCUGCAAGUCUUCCACCAGGGCCACGGCCUCCUCUCCACUCUCUGGAUGCUUCUGUCUAACCCAGACCUGGAUCUCCCGAGGAAGGACAGCCAGGAACUGUUCCAGCACUAGCAACUCCAGGAUCUGCUCUUUCGUACACUUCUCUGGUCUCAGCCACUGAUGACAGAGCUUCCGGAGUUGGAUGAGGGCCUCCCGGGGUCCUGAUGCUUGUUGAUAGCAGAAAUGCCAAAACCGCCGGCAGGAGGUCUCUGGUCCAGGGUCGCUCCUUUGGGAAAUUUCCUGCUCCCAGUGGGAAUCGUCUUCCAGCUUCACUCUUUGAAGCUCUUCUUGCGCUCGAGGAGUCUGGACUUGUGGGUCCCCAGCUACAGCCAUCGUUCAGUUCACGGAAGAACCUUGCCACUGGGCUCUGAAGCUCAAAGCCCUUCCUUUACCUCAAUGGGGAGCUACCAUCAGAUAGGAGUCACUAAGUAGAACUCGAAAUCCUAGAGCCACGGAUAAUACAUUACAGAGUGAAUGCUAGUGACCAUCACAAGUGUCAGCCCAGCAGGACUGAGGUGAAGAAAAGAGCCUUCGUGUCCUCCCCUCCCCAUGUCCUGGUGCCCGUGGAGUCUGGCCCUGUGUCACUGGGGAAGCAGCUCCAGAAGUUCAAGAGGAGGGUCAAGAGCGGGUGAUCUGAUUGGAAAGUAGGGGGGCUUGAGGCUGUGUUUGCACAGCAAUUUACUUGAGGCCGAGAAGAUGUCACUCAUCCACACUGACGAGUGAGGAUGGACUGGAGAAGACAAUGGGGACAAUAAGCCGCCCACCCUCCCAAGCCACUGGUCUUCGGAACUAGAGUGUGACAAAGUCAAUGUGGCAGGACAAGUACGAGAGGGCGCACAAGGUAGCAGCACCUUGGAGAGCAGCAGCCGGGUGGAGCUGGCUCUAUCCAACCUUUCAGAGAUUCAAAGGGUCCAACCUCUAAACUGCCCUCACCUCUGGCUGGUCACCCCACUCGGGAUUCCUCAGCGCUGGAAUAACUCUCUCCCAAACAGGGAGAUUUACCCUGGCUAGGAUUACAAGCGUUAAGAGCAGAGAUACUAAAAACAGACCCAUACGGGAUGUCAGGGCUGGCAGGACAGUUAAGAAAUACUUGGACUUCAACUCCCUCAAAGCUGGGCAAUCGUGGCUCAGAGACCCCCAGAGACUUGCCCAAGGUCACAUGGCUGGUGUUUGGCAGGAAAUAAACAGGGGCUCAGCCCCUUGACCGUGGACUGGGGGACUGGCCCGCAGAGCGUGACUUACACCGGAAGGCUACUCUGCUCCGCGGGCGACCUUCUCUGGAAGCCUUAUGGGGUAAAUGCGGGCCCUGGGGACGGGGUCGCCUCGGCGGCUACAAGGCCAGGGUCCUCCCCGCCGAGUCCGGUGGGCGGCGCGAAGGAGGGCGCCGCCAGCACGAGGGCCGCAUCUCGCCCGGGGGCCGCUCGCGGGGCGGCGGGGCCUGGGCCGGAGGCGGCGGGACCCUGGGUUUCGGUCCGGUCACGCCCACCCGGCGAGGGCGGCUAGGGCCCGAGGUGACAGCCGCGCGCGCCAGCCGAGGCCCUGCGACGCCGGGGGGCCGGGGCCCGUGGCACCUUCUCCGCGGCCGCGCAACGUCCCCAAACGACCCUCGAACCCCCAGCCCGGACCCGGAGUCCUGGCGUUCGGAUGGCCACUAAACACCGGAAGCGGAAACGCGAUCCCCAGAAGGACUGGGUUUUGCCAGACUCCAUUUCCCAUAGGCCUCCGUGCCCGCAGACUGACAACAGCACUAGCCAAUAAAAUGUGAGAACGGCCUAGA